Daphnia magna is the source of this 4268-nucleotide long non-coding RNA. RefSeq lists it as uncharacterized. The transcript is spliced from 8 exons. The record is from RefSeq and is a predicted model, not a curated record. NCBI's taxonomy places the organism in Eukaryota, Metazoa, Arthropoda, Branchiopoda, Diplostraca, Daphniidae.
AUUCGUGUCGGUGCACAAUUGUCUCUCCUUAAAUCGUUCUCUAAUGACAAAAUGAUGUGCUUGUAUCAUAACGUAGAACCCGUCUAUAUUUUAGCAGCUACAACAACAAAAUCGUAAUUAAAGAUCGAGAGGAGACGCAACCUGGUCAUAGUUCCAACAUUGUUUAGGAUUUUUUCUUUCUUUUUUUCCCGAUUUUUGUUUGACUACGCCCGUUUAUCACAAGACUUGUCUGUACUGCAUUACUGUCAUUCCAUAUUCAUGUUUUCGUGUUAGCUAGCAUAAUUAAAAUCACAUGUUAAUAGUUGGUGAAUUUAUUGGCGAAAGCCAUAGAAAAUCUCAAAUCAAUUCCAGAACGAGUAUAGCCGACCUGCACUUAUGAUGUCUGAUGUAGUCGGCAUUUUUAGGGUAGCCUACUGUUGCACAUGCUACAUAUCAUACACAAUUAAUAAUUGCUUGCACUUUGGGUCAGACGUGUGAUCAAGCACGACUUCUAACCCAUCCACAGAUGGCUCCUGUCAAUCUAUUUAAAGAGGUUGGAAGCUUAGCUUUUUUCAUGUAGCAGACGCCAUUGUAAUAUGUGAAAUGGUUGCAUUGAGGAUUGGCGAUGCAGACGCCGCCGCAUUGCUCUCCGGUGCUCGGCUUUUGUGCGAUGUCGUUACCCUCCCAGUCACAGUUCCACAUCCAAAUAACUUGGCCGUUGUUUCCGUAAUUGUACACCUGACGAGGCUGUGAAUCAUCGGCAGAAAUGCAAGCGAUACUUGUCAACAGCAGCAGAAAGAACAAGCAAACUGGAGAUGUCAGAGUCAUUGUUGCAAAAAGGGUGUGUUUUUCGCUUUCUGUUUAGUGCAAAAGAAGAUUUAAAAAAUACAGUGACGUUAGACAUGUUUGAACAGGACGAAGGAAAACUUACAACAAAAUGGAGAGUCUGAUGUCACUCAACGAAAAAGGUACGACGUUUGGUGUCAAAGGAGUUGUUUCAGUCGACUGUGCCUUAUUCAGGAAAAACCUUUCCCUUUUUAUACUAGGAUACUUGUAUUGAACAAGUUUGCAUUCAUUUCUACGAAAUGUAGCCUCUAUCAAAAGGUCAACGUACCAUGAAGAGGACACAGAAGUGGUUUUGGGAGGUGUAGUUUAGGAUACGAAUGUUAUAUUCAGGAGAAAAGAGGGUGUCCAGUUAUAUCGGACAGUCGAUUAUUCUUCUUUGUGCUUGCUUAACGUUUUCUAGACUAUUUCUAAUCACGUAUGCAUAACUUUCGAUAUGAUACGACUAGAACAACUUGUUGCAAGACUGGCCGAUGUGUCCGGAUUGACCUUUCGGUCAUUGCCCUCAUUUCCUCCCCCUUGAGUUUGCAACUUUUCGUGUUGUGAGUUCAUUUCUUCCACCCCAUCUUCGAGGUGCAUUGACAUGUCAUUUACCACGCCCAAAAUUGUGUUUUUUUUUUUUUUUUUUUCAACGGGUUAUCACCGUUUCGGCUUAAUUGGCUACUGACAUGACAAGUGACAGCUUUAUCAGAGUCAUAGAAACUUGGUACAGCCACGCUUAUGGGUAGAGUUCCCGUCUUCCCGAGUCUGACCAUUGUUAUAAGCGCCGUGGCGGGUGUGUUGGUAAAUUUUCAAAACUUGGGAAACUUCUUCUUAGUAUAAGUUACAAUGUUUACUUGCUAUUUCUAUAUAUUUAAACUAGUUUAUCUCUCUAAUGGCUCCUGAUUACAUUUUCCGUUAUGUAUAACGGAAGAACAACUCAACAGAUGGCAGUCAAAAUAAUGGUCAAAUCGAUAUUUUAGCGCUUUUCGAUUUCGAUAGUAGCUUCACUUUUGGAAAAGAAAAAAUUCGACAGGGGGGUGUUUCCCCUGCAGUGGCUGUACCAGGUUUCUAAAACUCUGGCUUUAUAUUGCAAAAUGGACAAAUGUUUUGCGUUAUACAUAGUCAUCUAGCCAGUUACCUAUCAGGAACGAUAAAAGUGUUUUCAAACAGCACAUCUUCACAAAUUCCAGUGUAGCAAAAGCUUAAAUUGUUUGCGAUUUAUUUGCAUAUCAGUAGGCCUGCACCAAAUUCGUCAGGGAAUAAUUCAUGAUUCAAAUCAUCUGAAAUUUUUUUCAACGUAAAAAUAAAAACAAUUUCCGGCAACGGCGCAUUAAAAGUUCGACGCUAGAUGACGUUAUUCGCAGGUCUCAUUGAUUCCGACUGCCUUUGAUGGAACACCAUGCUGGCGAAGAGUAAAUGAACCAUGCUGAUCCCUUCUCACGUUCAAGUUCAAGUUCAAGUUCAACGAGGUUCAAGUUCAACCAGGUUUAACUGAAGAAUUCAAAAAAGCAUAUUUCAUAUCCUAUCAUGAUGCAGUCUCCACACCACAAGGGAGAGGGACAUCAGAUUUCACAACCAGUUUUCCAAAAGCCGAGUCAAUGAUGGAAUCCUUAUGAUGGAAGUAUGAGGUUGUUGUAAUAUUAAACAUGGUGGCUGUUGAUGUUUAACAGGACCCUGGACCCAACAUGUUGGCUAUGCUGAGCAUUUCUGGCAUUGGUUCAUUGAAAAAAGCCCAUCCAAAUUACAGCUAACACUCAUGGGAUUAUAUUCAGACAAAACAAUUUUUGGAGAAGGUUUCGAUAACAAGAGUAAAGGAAAGGAUUCAACUUGGAAACAGUUGCAGAGUUUAUAAGAUGAAUCCUUGUGACUGUAAUUCUCCUGAAAUAUUUGUAGUCCAUUUGAUCAGAAAAGGAAAAUUAGUAUGUGGGUAUGCUUAGCAUAUGGAACUUAGCCUACCUUCACACGUGCACGUGCUAUUAACUCCCAGGAUUGUGAAAAAUUAGACAGGUUGUGCCAUCACCGUCAAAAGGUUGCCUUAGAAAAUCCAUGGGUUAAAUAAACAACGUGUGUCGAUUUAAAACCCAAUAAAACGACUUUUCCGUUGUUACUGAGUGAAACAAGAUUUUUAUAACAUAAAAAAAAAAACAUGUGGUUGGAAUAGUUAAAUUUUGAUGUGCUUCUCUACAGUAAAGCACAGCGCUGACAACUUAACAACCGUCCAUCAUCGGCCUCUUUCCCAUUUACAAUUGCUCGGUAUGUCCGAAUAGCCCUGCCACUCGUUGAAUGAUAACGUUAUAAAUGCGAUUUUGUUUGACUUAAAAAUUUUGAAACUUAUUUAGACCAUCCUGGAAAAAAUCCUGAAAUUUGGGAAAUUCAAAUUCGCCAUUAUUCGCAAACUCUGCACUACCACCAAUAUUGGUUCCAGGUCGCUCAGUUUGCCGUGAUUUUCUAUGUCGGUCUGUUGGCUGCUUUUCAACCGUAAGGGGCUGCCUAUAAGCCCGGUGACUGCUAUUGCCAAAAGAGCCAGAAAGACUAGAAACAGAUGCUUUGGAAUUUAAAUUGAAAACAGGUUAUCAUUCAGAUAUUGUUGUUCUAUGAUUUAAAUAAAAGAAGAAACAAACUGGCUUUCCUUACUGGAGCUGUGAUAGUGUUAAGCUCAAGAAAUUGACUGAUGCACAAACCAGGAUACUGGGAAGAAUUUAUACCUAGUUGGAAAAGGUUACGCCCUCUGCAGAAGAAACCGAGAGAGUUGGGCGAUAUUCAAAGUUUCUCCAUUGCUCUGGCUUUUCCAUGUGAGAUUGUACGCGGUUGUGGGCCUGCUGCAAGCUAUUGAUUCUUCGACCGCUUCAGCUUUCCUCAGGUUAGACAAUUUAAGCAUGCACUGCGAAUUUUAUUUGAGUCCAAUGGAGUCCAACGACGGCAUUUUAUUCCCUCGGAUUGUCUUUCCGGAUGAGCAAGACUUAUUUAUCGGUAGCUGUCGGAAAUCUUUGGUCAUACACUUCUGUGAAGUAGACCAAAAAAAAUUCCUGAACUAAGUUCAUGAAAAAUCACGAUUUUGGCCAAAUCCAACUUUUGGCUAAAAACACAUCGUUCCAACCCCAAAUUUGAUAAGGAUCACAAAAAUCUUACUCGUUAUGUUAUGGGAUCACUAAUUCCGGAAAUAUUGGAUACUUCCGGUUACUUCCUGGAUAUUUUCUUGACAAUUUGCUAAAAGUAAAAAAUUAGCUGUAUUAUUCUAACAAUUUCAAAUGUUUUCUUGUAUGCAUUAGGGUGUUGCAGCUUUUAUUCCGUGUUUUUCUUGCUAUCAACAUUACAGGCUGGCCCUACGAGCAACGACAGUUUUAGCUACAAAUGUUUAGCACCUCGUCUUGCAACUAGUAGUUUCCCGAUAGGGAUUCUAUCAAAACUCGCAUUUCCCAACCCCCUGAUACAGGCACCCCUACCCUUCUACAACGACCCGUGGA